UUCCCAGGAUUUCUGUUCCUGCUUCAUCGUCGCAAUUCUAUGCUCUAAAAGACUUGAUUUUGCCAACUGUUUCAGGAAGGGAAAAAGAGUCUUGGCUGCAGGAAGUCUGGGGUCACAGAAUGCCAAAGAAAUGCUGCUCCAGGACACUCUGGAACAACAGACUACCACAGGAGGCCCCUGUGCCACUGUCCACAGAGAAAGGUUCAUUAUGGUGUGUAUUGUAUACGAUGAUGGUAAAGUCUUAUUACUUCUACUACCUUAUCGACACAGCUAUUUAAUUCCUCACUCAGAGCUUCCUUUUCUUUCAGCAGUUUUUCGUUGUAGCUUAGAACACUAGAGAUUUUUUGCUGGAAGUCAGAGAGAUCGGGACAUCUGUGCAGCUGUAAGAGAUAAACAAAUGAGCCCUCCCAUCACAUCUCAUGGCUAAGGUGCCUACGCUGACUGGCCAGUAAAAUGUUGUUGGUGCGAACAUACUGGCUUUUCCUCUCCACUUCAUGAAAUCAAGACAAACCAAAUACUGUUUUUUAUUCGUCUUCAAUAUCAGUGCUGGUACUAGUCUCAUUUUGGGCUGGAUAAUUCUUCAGGCGUUGGGGGUCGCGGGGCAUUCUGGACACUGUAGGAUGCUUCACAGCGUCUCUGGCUUUACUCAAAAGAUGGCAGUAACCCCCCACCUUCCAGUUGUGAAAACAAAAAAUGUGCCCAGACAUUGAUAAAUGUUCUGGGGCAGGAGAGCAAUCCUCACCCCUUCACCCUAUUGAAAACCCAUGCUUUAAAGAGGCUGUUUCUUACACUUCUUAACCCUUUUCCAUAGUUCAUAGGUUUUUAACUUUCCUCUAUUUCACUUGACUCUUCAAUUCUUUAUUAUCAUUAUGAUUUUACGACCAUCUUUCUACUUCCUGAACCUGAAAUUCUUUCACAUUUAGCUGUAGGAAUAGUAUGACAAAACAGACUUUCAGGGUUCAAUCUUGUCUUCAACUGGUGACAAAUCCAGCAUACCUUACAAAUCUGAACAAGUCAGAAGGAUAUAGGAAAAUGUAUUUUGAAAUACCUGGGCACUGGUUUAAUAAAGGACCUUCUACUUUAUCCACUGCCUUGUCUUCCUACCCUCCAGACACCCGUAAAGCUUGAUACCAUUUUGGAUGUCUGUAAACUGGCAUGUAACUUUUGCUGAUGCUAUUUGUGUUUCCUUUCAGUGCAAUAGAUAACACAGAUAGAAGUGCUUUGUGAACUAUGAAUCACGAUAUCAUACAGAGUGACACAUGCCUUCUAGGUCCACGUUGUAUAAUAGCAAUGAUGGGCUGACGCUACCCUAUUCUUGGGAUCCAAAAGGAUCCAGGUCUCUGAUAAAACAACUUUCUACCAAAGGCAGACCAGGCUCACAAUUUCUUCAUCUCACUAUUUAUACCAAUGCUUGUUUAAAAAAAAAAAAAAAAAAGCAAUAAAAACGUGCUGAAUGACA
Long non-coding RNA from Homo sapiens (human), 1459 nucleotides. RefSeq lists it as uncharacterized. Lineage: Eukaryota; Metazoa; Chordata; Mammalia; Primates; Hominidae. The record is from RefSeq and is a predicted model, not a curated record. The transcript is spliced from 3 exons.